UUCUUGGGUCAUUAAACCUAA
Molecule: non-coding RNA, 21 nt
Filed under: Caenorhabditis elegans
Lineage: Eukaryota; Metazoa; Nematoda; Chromadorea; Rhabditida; Rhabditidae
Source: RNAcentral